AUAUAUAGAUAAAUUGAUACACAGUUGAUCGAACUUAGUAUUCGCCAGCAUGCAGUAUAUGGUCAGUUGAUAUACACCUAGUAAAAUAUUCAUCUGAUAUCUCAAUAUACACCUCUAAGUAAAAUGAUAAACAAUUUUUAUGAAUUUUUAAGUGCAAAGAUCAGAGAAAAAAGAGAAAAUUGGAAGAGGAGAAAGAGACUCAGGAAGACCUCAUAGAUAG
This 220-nucleotide long non-coding RNA is filed under the name Elaeis guineensis (African oil palm). RNAcentral's name for it is "long non-coding RNA (EGUI_LNC023264)". Lineage: Eukaryota; Viridiplantae; Streptophyta; Magnoliopsida; Arecales; Arecaceae. The record is from RNAcentral.